GGGGAAUAUUGCGCAAUGGGGGGAGCCCUGACGCAGCAACGCCGCGUGAAGGAAGGAGGCCUUCGGGUUGUAAACUUCUUUGAUCAGGGACGAAGGAAAUGACUGUACCUGAAGAACAAGCCACGGCUAACUACGUGCCAGCAGCCGCGGUAAUACGUAGGUGGCAAGCGUUGUCCGGAAUUACUGGGUGUAAAGGGCGUGUAGGCGGGGAGGUAAGUCAGAUGUGAAAUUCCAGGGCUCAACCCUGGAGCUGCAUCUGAAACUAUCUUUCUUGAGUGCUGGAGAGGAAAGCGGAAUUCCUAGUGUAGCGGUGAAAUGCGUAGAUAUUAGGAGGAACACCAGUGGCGAAGGCGGCUUUCUGGACAGUAACUGACGCUGAGGCGCGAAAGCGUGGGGAGCAAAC
This 403-nucleotide ribosomal RNA is filed under the name uncultured bacterium. Its description in RNAcentral is "bacterial SSU rRNA". It matches the Rfam family "Bacterial small subunit ribosomal RNA", at positions 356 to 773 of the family's 1533-position model. The record is from RNAcentral.